GGUAUUAAGAUCUAUAUGUCAGCACUAAUUGCUUAUUUAGAGAAAUCAUUGACAAUAAGAUGUCGUUUAUGAAUCAUUCGCAAAUGCCCGACCAACAAUUCUUAUGGGAUGUGUUUUCACGUGUUGAUAAGGAUCGUAGUGGGUAUAUAUCUGCGGAUGAGCUGCAACUAGCACUGUCUAAUGGAACUUGGAGUCCAUUUAAUCCAGAAACAGUCCGUUUAAUGAUUGGAAUGUUUGAUCGUGAGAACAGAGGAACAGUAUCAUUCCAAGAUUUUGGAUCUCUUUGGAAAUAUGUGACAGAUUGGCAAAAUUGUUUUCGUUCGUUUGAUCGUGACAAUUCCGGCAACAUAGACAAAACAGAACUUAAAACAGCUUUAACAUCCUUUGGAUAUCGCCUAUCUGAUAAUAUUAUAGAUAUGCUAAUACGGAAAUUUGAUCGCUUUGGAAGGGGAUAAAUAUAUUUUGAUGAUUUUAUACAGUGCUGCAUAGUACUAUAUACGCUGACAUCAGCUUUUCGUCAACACGAUUCUGAUAUGGACGGAGUCAUAACUAUCCACUAUGAACAAUUUCUCAGUAUGGUAUUCGCUUUAAGAAUUUAGGUCAUAGAUUAUGACCUAACUGAAAGUGAUUCUCCAUACGUGCCAAUCCAUUAAUCCGUUUUAUAAGGUUUUGCCGUCGUAAACCAGGAUCGAUUGAUAAAUAAUAAAACAAAAAUAACAAAUAUGGAUAAUUUUCUUUUCGUUAAAAUUAUGAAUAUUCGUUACAGUAUAUGAAGAUUCUGUAUGUAAAUAAAAUGUUAGAAAUGUAACAACUACUUGAUACAAGAAUUAUAUUUUACAAAUAUUGAUGUUUGAAUUUUGAUGAAAUAAACUAAUUGUGAAUAUUUUUGUUCUUUUUAGUUUUUAUAUUUUCCGCCAUAAGAAGUGAAUCUUAGUUUUAUCAUUCCAAUUUCAACAACAACUUCGUAACCUCUAAAUUGAUUAACAAAAUUAAAAGCAACUAGGGUUCAUGCGUCCACUACUAUCAAUCAAUGUUUGAGUAGCUGAAGGGACUUUCCGUAUAUUCGCCUUGGGCGAACAUUGCUGAUAGCUAUCGGACGCAUCCACAGGUUGCGCUCGACCUCAGUCCCUUCGUAACUUGACGCCUAAAAAACUAUAAUAUAAAACAAAUGAGUGCAGAGCGGCACCCCACUGAAGAAAAAGUCGUUGCCUUCUCUGGCCUUACACCAGGCAAAGCUGAGAAGCUAGGAACAUUCAAGCUGUUAUGUGCUGUUGGGAUGAAUUCUACUUCCAUAAGUGGAAAAAGAACACAUACGGACCAUAAUACCUUCAAACCUUCAAAAUACAUAUCUUCGUACAGAGGGUUGGGCCCCGACAUUAGAGUAGACAGGAAUGAGGAUAACUACUUGCGCCCACGAGAGGGAAAGCCGAACUUCGGAUCAGGGUGAGUACGGUUCGGCCAACAUACUCCUUAUCGGGCUCAAUAGCGAAACAAAAUAGGCCACAAGCAGAAAACUAUUCAGCAGAAGUGUCAGCAUCGGGGAAUAGAGCUAGAUCUUAAGUACUCCUUUCAACCGGUCGGGUGAACUGAAUGGUAGAAGCUAUGAAUUUAAGGCAACCCUAGAUUCCGGCUAACAGAUUAAUGUGGUGUCAGAACGACUUGUGCAUCGGUUGGGUAUCGAUCCCAUUCAAGCAUCUCUCUGUUUCGAAGGCGUUGGUGGAUGGUCAAGAACCGCAAACCUCAAAGUCAACGUUGAACUUCAGUCGCUAACAAGCAAAUUCAGAACGCGUCUAGAAGCUUUUGUGUUACGAAAUAUAGUGCCACCAAGCAUUGGCAUCGACAUUACAUAAUGACCAAUUCCAGAAAACAUCAAGUUGACAAAACUCCACAGAAAUCCACAGGGUUUUACGUACUACUGGGAGCAGAGUUAUAUUUUAAUCUGAUACGGAUCGCAAAUAUCAGCUAAUCCUAUUGAGAAAACCCAAACAAGAAACUCGACUAUGAUGUGUUAAAUGCAUUAACAUAUGGAACGACCUACGCCCCAUAUCUUGCUAAAAUAUGUACGAACAUACGUAAUUAGUGGAAGCAGGAUUUAGAGUACGAAAAUGGUGUGCUAAUCACUAGAAACAGCUGCAGGGAGUUGCUCCAGAAAUAGGUCUUAAAUUUGACAAGUCAUCAAUCAAGGUUUUGGAAUUAACAUUAUAUAACAUAUAAAAGAUUCUGCAUGGUAUACUUCAAUUUAAAUUAAUCUCUUUAAAAUACAAUACUUUGCUUUUU
RNA transcript from Musca domestica (house fly), 2277 nucleotides. It is a transcript of the gene named programmed cell death protein 6, with no coding region annotated. The transcript has 4 exons. The record is from RefSeq and is a predicted model, not a curated record. Lineage: Eukaryota; Metazoa; Arthropoda; Insecta; Diptera; Muscidae.